AUUCAGGGCUUCAGACUGGCAUUGCGGACUUUGCCAGUCUAAUAACAACAGAAAAAGGACACUAGAGUAACACCGUGUGGAUACAAUCAGGCAAGAAGACCUUCUGCUCAUCAAGGCAUCUGUAUAUACAGAGCAAUCAAUUUUAGUUUAAUGAAAGACAAAGCUGCAUCUAGAAGAAAAUAAUACAGUGAGUAAAACUCAACAAUAGAAAUUUGUGUAUGAACUAACUUCAGAUAGUUAAUGAAUCCUAAACAACAGUCAAGAAGGUAGCCGCCAAAAAAUAGAAAAACGGAACCUUCCAUUGCCCGAUCAAUUCAGAUGUAUCACUUGCUGAGCAGGCAGAAGCGACACCUAAUGUUCGUUAUGAUUUAUAUCUAAUUUUUUCUGUGGUCUCAGUUGGAAAAAGUAAUACUUUUCAGUUAAACACUUGGACAAAAAGAUAUUGCAAAGUAGCCACUAGGAUGAAUAAAACAUUCGGUAAAUGAAAUAAAAGUUGUAUGUCCUAACACAUCAAUUCUUGUGUCACUUUUCUUGGUCACAUCAAUUCUUUUCAAAGAUUCAGCUUGCACGUCGAUUUAUUCCUUCUGUUGUAAUGUUUAAUAGAUAGAAUGAACUCUGUAAUAUCAUAUGAUAUGUCCCUUUCCACGUUGAUUUGUUCCUUCUAGGCCAGACCCUAACGAAAAAAAGCAGAGAAGAAUCUGGUUCAAUAAUGGUCAAAUUCAAAAGGACACAAUAACAUUACAAUCCGCCAUGACACGGUACAUUAACAACAGAAGCUCCAGUUGCAAACAUCUUCCUAAGCUUCUUUCAAGCAUCAAUCACCUUUACACGUAAAGGUUCAAGAUAAGACAUAUAAUCAAAAUCAUUGUACAAAAACAAAUGUUAUCCAAAACUUCAAGGAGGGUUCAAUUCGAUAUAAAAAAGAGGCUUAUUCUAGUGCUCUAAGCCAUUUCACUCAUAAAAAAUUCUUUUCAAAAAGCAAUUAAUUCUUGUGCCUUGAGAAUCAACGCAAAAUAAGUUAGGAAUGUGGACCUUCGUCUUGAGAUUAACAUCUCUUUAGAGCGUUAAUACGGAGAGUGAAAGUCUUUAGGUAGAAAUAUAAACAGAAAUGAUGUGUAAUGGAAUAACACAACAUUAUGGUGUAUAGGAACCCAUCUUCUUCCACUUAGCAUUUUUAUUUCAUCUUCCAUUACACUAGAUAAAUUUACAUGCUUUGGUCGAAGGUUAGCUUCAUUCGCUAGUGGAAAUGUUUUUAAAAUACACUUACCGAAGCAACAUAAUAAAGAGUAAUCUUCGCCACAGAAGGUCCCAAACAACCACGUUAACGAAAUUCAUUAUAUUAUAAAUAAUGAACAGGGGAUUGAAAUCUCGUGCGAUUGCAACUAGUUCAUAGACCUCUCCUGCUCGUCCGUCCUCCCUCCUCCAGCACAAAGGGAUCUGAUCUCCUGAUGAGGAAGAUGAGACGUUGACCUUGGCGCGUUCUCCAGGGGCUACCACAAGGUGCUCGAUGCAUCCAGUUCGUCCUCGUGCUCCAGUUCAUCGAUGCAUCCAGUUCGUCCGCCAAGUCGCGCAGAUGGGAGAGGAGGCAGGGGCCGGAUUGUACCAACUGCUGGGCCAACCCUAAUUAGAUAU
This 1632-nucleotide long non-coding RNA is filed under the name Zea mays. RNAcentral describes it as "long non-coding RNA (ZMAY_LNC003694)". Lineage: Eukaryota; Viridiplantae; Streptophyta; Magnoliopsida; Poales; Poaceae. The record is from RNAcentral.